CCGCCGCAGUAACACAUGCAAGUCGAGCGCCCAGCAAUGGGAGCGGCAGACGGGAUAGUAACACGUGGGAACGUACCUUUCAGUUCGGAACAACCAAGGGAAACUUUGGCUAAUACCGAAUACGCCCGUAAGGGGAAAGAUUUAUCGCUGAAAGAUCGGCCCGCGUCUGAUUAGCUAGUUGGUGAGGUAAUGGCUCACCAAGGCGACGAUCAGUAGCUGGUCUGAGAGGAUGAUCAGCAUCACUGGGACUGAGACACGGCCCAGACUCCUACGGGAGGCAGCAGUGGGGAAUAUUGGACAAUGGGCGCAAGCCUGAUCCAGCCAUGCCGCGUGAGUGAUGAAGGCCUUAGGGUUGUAAAGCUCUUUCGUCAGGGAAGAUAAUGACGGUACCUGAAGAAGAAGCCCCGGCUAACUUCGUGCCAGCAGCCGCCGUAACAC
Molecule: ribosomal RNA, 438 nt
Filed under: uncultured bacterium
Lineage: Bacteria
Description: bacterial SSU rRNA
Rfam family: Bacterial small subunit ribosomal RNA
Source: RNAcentral